This 1323-nucleotide ribosomal RNA is filed under the name Rathayibacter sp. RNAcentral's name for it is "bacterial SSU rRNA". It matches the Rfam family "Bacterial small subunit ribosomal RNA", at positions 114 to 1447 of the family's 1533-position model. The record is from RNAcentral. Lineage: Bacteria; Bacillati; Actinomycetota; Actinomycetes; Micrococcales; Microbacteriaceae.
CACGUGAGUAACCUGCCCUUGACUCUGGGAUAAGCGCUGGAAACGGCGUCUAAUACCGGAUACGACCUGCCCCGGCAUCGGGUGCGGGUGGAAAGUUUUUCGGUCAAGGAUGGACUCGCGGCCUAUCAGGUAGUUGGUGAGGUAAUGGCUCACCAAGCCGACGACGGGUAGCCGGCCUGAGAGGGUGACCGGCCACACUGGGACUGAGACACGGCCCAGACUCCUACGGGAGGCAGCAGUGGGGAAUAUUGCACAAUGGGCGAAAGCCUGAUGCAGCAACGCCGCGUGGGGGAUGACGGCCUUCGGGUUGUAAACCUCUUUUAGUAGGGAAGAAGGGCUUCGGCUUGACGGUACCUGCAGAAAAAGCACCGGCUAACUACGUGCCAGCAGCCGCGGUAAUACGUAGGGUGCAAGCGUUGUCCGGAAUUAUUGGGCGUAAAGAGCUCGUAGGCGGUUUGUCGCGUCUGCUGUGAAAACCCGAGGCUCAACCUCGGGCCUGCAGUGGGUACGGGCAGACUAGAGUGCGGUAGGGGAGAAUGGAAUUCCUGGUGUAGCGGUGGAAUGCGCAGAUAUCAGGAGGAACACCGAUGGCGAAGGCAGUUCUCUGGGCCGUUACUGACGCUGAGGAGCGAAAGCGUGGGGAGCGAACAGGAUUAGAUACCCUGGUAGUCCACGCCGUAAACGUUGGGAACUAGAUGUGGGGACCUUUCCACGGUCUCCGUGUCGCAGCUAACGCAUUAAGUUCCCCGCCUGGGGAGUACGGCCGCAAGGCUAAAACUCAAAGGAAUUGACGGGGGCCCGCACAAGCGGCGGAGCAUGCGGAUUAAUUCGAUGCAACGCGAAGAACCUUACCAAGGCUUGACAUAUACCGGAAACUUCCAGAAAUGGUUGCCCCGCAAGGUCGGUAUACAGGUGGUGCAUGGUUGUCGUCAGCUCGUGUCGUGAGAUGUUGGGUUAAGUCCCGCAACGAGCGCAACCCUCGUUCUAUGUUGCCAGCACGUCAUGGUGGGAACUCAUAGGAGACUGCCGGGGUCAACUCGGAGGAAGGUGGGGAUGACGUCAAAUCAUCAUGCCCCUUAUGUCUUGGGCUUCACGCAUGCUACAAUGGCCGGUACAAAGGGCUGCGAUACCGUAAGGUGGAGCGAAUCCCAAAAAGCCGGUCUCAGUUCGGAUUGAGGUCUGCAACUCGACCUCAUGAAGUCGGAGUCGCUAGUAAUCGCAGAUCAGCAACGCUGCGGUGAAUACGUUCCCGGGCCUUGUACACACCGCCCGUCAAGUCAUGAAAGUCGGUAACACCCGAAGCCAGUGGCCUAACCGCAAGGA